RNAcentral lists this ribosomal RNA (253 nucleotides) under uncultured bacterium. RNAcentral describes it as "partial 16S ribosomal RNA". It matches the Rfam family "Bacterial small subunit ribosomal RNA", at positions 524 to 776 of the family's 1533-position model. The record is from RNAcentral.
UACGUAGGUGGCAAGCAUUAUUCGGAAUGAUUGGGCGUAAAGCGUCCGCAGGCGGUAAGGAAAGUCAGGUAUUAAAUCUUCGGGCCCAACCCGGAGGCUGUGCUUGAAACUUCUUUACUAGAGUGUAUGAGGGGUGAGUGGUAUUCCUGGUGUAGGGGUAAAAUCCGUUGAUAUCAGGAGGAACACCAAUAGCGAAGGCAGCUCACUGGCAUACUACUGACGCUCAUGGACGAAAGCGUGGGGAGCAAAACGG